This 465-nucleotide ribosomal RNA is filed under the name uncultured bacterium. RNAcentral's name for it is "partial 16S ribosomal RNA". It matches the Rfam family "Bacterial small subunit ribosomal RNA", at positions 339 to 795 of the family's 1533-position model. The record is from RNAcentral.
CUACGGGCCGCUGCAGUGAGGAAUUUUGCGCAAUGGGGGCAACCAUGACACAGCAACGCCGCGUGAGUGAUGAAGGCCUUUGGGUCGUAAAACUCUGUCAGCAGGGAAGAAGUUACGUAGGGUUAAUAUCCUUAUGUAUUGACGGUACCUGCAAAGGAAGCACCGGCUAGCUCCGUGCCAGCAGCCGCGGUAAUACGGGGGGUGCAAGCGUUAUUCGGAAUUAUUGGGCGUAAAGGGCGCGUAGGCGGCCUGUCAGGUCAGAUGUGAAAGCCCGGGGCUUAACUCCGGAAGUGCAUUUGAAACCGGCAGGCUUGAGUAUGGGAGAGGAAAGUGGAAUUCCUGGUGUAGAGGUGAAAUUCGUAGAUAUCAGGAGGAACACCAGUGGCGAAGGCGACUUUCUGGACCAAUACUGACGCUGAGGCGCGAAGGCGUGGGUAGCAAACAGGAUUAGAUACCCCCGUAGUC